GGUUUCGGUGCCCUCGGGUCGCUUAGCCUCUUUUUAUAAGAGGCUUUGUGUAAUCCGAGGUAAGGAUCACCCCUUUUUUUUAAAGAGGGUGGUUUGUGCCGACCAUCUCUUCCGGAAAGGCCGGUCUACCCUUUACUGGGUUUUUGGGCUGGUUCAAUCAAAUUUCCGGAUCUUUUACUGUGAAAAAAUUAGAGUGUUUAAAGCAGGCAUUUUUAGCAUUUGAAUAUAUUAGCAUGGAAUAAUAAGAUAGGACUUCGGUUCUAUUUUGUUGGUUUAUAGGACUGGAGUA
This 289-nucleotide ribosomal RNA is filed under the name uncultured fungus. RNAcentral's name for it is "partial small subunit ribosomal RNA". The stretch from base 50 to 289 matches the Rfam family "Eukaryotic small subunit ribosomal RNA", at positions 630 to 864 of the family's 1831-position model. The record is from RNAcentral. Lineage: Eukaryota; Fungi.